RNAcentral lists this microRNA precursor (171 nucleotides) under Pelobates cultripes (western spadefoot toad). Lineage: Eukaryota; Metazoa; Chordata; Amphibia; Anura; Pelobatidae. The record is from RNAcentral.
CAGCAGACACAUUCCAGCCAAUCAGCAGCAGACCCUCCCUCCCAGACCUCCCACCUCCUGGACAGCAUCCAUUUUAUAUUCAUUGUGAAGCUGCAUUCUUAGUGAGCUGUCCAGGAGGUGGGAGGGUCUGGGAGGGAGGGUCUGCUGCUGAUUGGCUGGAAUGUGUCUGCU